AGGCAACAAUAGAUGGUUUCAAACGCUUGUCAGUUUAUUCAAUGUGUUAAGUGACUUAAGUGUUUACUAUCCAAUAUCCACUUUAAACUUGUAUUAUGUACUAGUUAUUCGCAUAUUAUUGUAUCGUUCUGUAAUUCUGCGUUCUGCUUAAUAAGUAAUAACUUCUCUGUACUCAUAACUCAUAAGUAAAGCAUCAGUUUAAAUAUUUUACAAACUUCGUUUUUUUAAGGUUUAUUCGAUCAAAUUAAUAAAUAUAAAUAUGGCAAAUCCACAAGUUAAAGUUCAAUAUAAUCAGAUAUUCAUCAACAACAGUUUCGUCAACUCAGUAAGUGGAAAAACGUUUCCUACUAUCAACCCGGCUAAUAAAAAGAUAAUUAUCAAUGUUGCUGAAGGAGAUAAAGAGGAUGUAGAUUUGGCAGUUAAUGCGGCAAGGGCUGCAUUUCAACCAAAUUCUGAAUGGCGUACAAUGAACGCAUCUGCUCGAGGGCAAUUGAUCUAUAAAUUUGCAGAAUUGUUAAAAAAAAACACAAUCGAUUUAGCAAAUUUAGAAUCUUUAGACAAUGGCAAACCAUAUAAUAGCUCUGAAUUAGAUGUAAAGUUGGCUGUUUCAAUUCUUCAAUAUUAUGCUGGAUUUGCUGAUAAAAUUCACGGAAAAACUAUACCAUCGGAUGGACCAUAUUUUACAUUCACUAAAUGCCAACCUGUUGGGGUAGUCGGAUCAAUUAUACCAUGGAACUAUCCAACUGUUAUAGCUGUAGGAAAAUUGGCACCAGCACUUGCUACCGGAUGUACUGUUGUAUUAAAGCCAGCUGAACAAACUCCUCUUACUGCUUUGUAUUUAGCUGCACUAUCAAAAGAGGCUGGAUUUCCCAAUGGAGUCAUUAACAUUAUACCUGGUUAUGGUCCAACUGCGGGUAAAGCUAUAGCUAGCCAUCCAGAUAUAAAUAAAGUGACCUUUACUGGAUCGACAGAAGUUGGAAAAUUAAUCAUGGAAGAAGCUGCCAAGUCUAAUUUAAAACGUGUAUCAUUAGAAUUAGGUGGUAAAAGUCCUCUGGUAAUUUUCGAUGAUUUUGAUGUUGAUGAGGCUGUUAAGAUUGCUCAUGAUUCUGUAUUUGUUAACAUGGGUCAAAAUUGUUGUGCUGCUUCUAGAACAUUUGUUCAAGAAAAUAUUUAUGAUACAUUUGUAAAAAAAGCUGCAAAAUUGGCAUCUGGUAAGAAAGUUGGAGACCAAUUUGAUGCCAAUGCAGAAAUAUGGCCUUUAGUAAGCGAAGAACAGUACAACAAAGUUUUGAGUAUGAUCGAAUCUGGUAAAAAGGAAGGUGCCAAAUUAGAAGCUGGUGGGUCUAACGUUGGUGACACGGGUUAUUAUGUUUACCCUACUGUAUUCUCAAACGUGACUGAUAAUAUGAAAAUUGCUAGAGAAGAAAUAUUUGGACCAGUUCAGCAAAUCAUUAAAUUCAAAACUUUAGAUGAAGUGAUAAAUCGGGCAAAUAACACUAAAUAUGGAUUAGCUGCUGGAAUAUUAACUAAAAAUAUGGAUACUGCAAUGAAGUAUAUGGAAAAUGUUAAUGCUGGUUCAGUUUGGUAAUUAUAACAAUAGGAUUAACAGUUACCUUGUCUUCGCAGCGCAAAUCCCAUUUGGUGGAUUUAAUCAGUCUGGAAUUGGCAGAGAAUAUGGAGAAGAUGGUUUAAAGGAGUACUUGGAAAUUAAAUCUAUCUCAAUCAAACAAUAAGUUUCAUACAAAAAUAAAUAAAUAAUUAUAUAUCAUUACUCCUAUGUAAUUUAAAUAUUACUUUUUUUUUUUUUAUUAAUAAAAACAAAUAUUUUUAUUAAAUAAAACCAACAA
This is an RNA transcript of Aphis gossypii (cotton aphid), 1847 nucleotides long. It is a transcript of the gene named aldehyde dehydrogenase-like, with no coding region annotated. NCBI's taxonomy places the organism in Eukaryota, Metazoa, Arthropoda, Insecta, Hemiptera, Aphididae. The record is from RefSeq and is a predicted model, not a curated record. The transcript is spliced from 11 exons.